ACAGGUGUGGUUCAGUGGUUAGAGCAUUGGCCUGAGUACCAAAGGGUCGUGGGUUUAAUUCCCGAUUCCUGGA
Non-coding RNA from Myotis lucifugus (little brown bat), 73 nucleotides. Lineage: Eukaryota; Metazoa; Chordata; Mammalia; Chiroptera; Vespertilionidae. The record is from Rfam.